GCAGGGACCACAGGGUCGCGAGGGUCAAGUCCAGGUCCAGCACACAGGAGGGGCUUCUGUCCGCCCUGGAGCGGGGUUGGGGGAGGCGAGGGUGUCCGGGGCACCUGCGGCCUCUCAGACACUGAGCUAUGGGCUGCCCCCCUGAGCGCGACAACGUCCAGCGGCCGCUCAGUGGGCAGGAGGGUACAGGCGCGCCGCCCUGGUGGGGACGUCCAUACCCGGGCGAGAAUUCCAGACCGCACUUGUGACCACACAGAUUCGGUGCCUUUUUUGUUGCUGUGUUUGGUUACUCUAUUCCAUAACUUCUUCUUUGGGUAUAAUUUCAAGCUUACAGAAAAGUUGCAAGCCUAAUAUAGGGAGUUCCUGCGCACCCUUCGCCCAGGUUCGCCAGCUGUGUGCGUUUGUCCCGUGGCUGUAGCACUUUUUGUGUGUGUGUGUGUGUGUACGUGUUUACUCCCAUCCCUUUGGAGAGUAAAGUGCAGACACGAGACCCUCUGUUCCUAAAUCCCAUAACUAUAGCAGCAUGACCCCCGUGGGGACACCGAACAUCUCACAGAUGUCAGGCCGUCAGAGCACGACGGCGUAUUCAGUCUCCCUCCGUGAACACACCACCCAGCCCGCAGUGCUCAGUGGCUCUGAGAAGCGCUCUGUGGCCGUCCCUGCUUCCGGGGUUCAGGGCUCAGUUACGCGGUCUGUCUCGUCCCCUUAACUUGGAACAGUCUCUCGGCCUGUCUUUGUCUUUCUUGACAUGUUGAUUCUGAAGAAUGUGUUUCUCGUUUUGACCCACGAGCUGGGAACUAUGGCAGCUAUUUGGAGUGAAGUUCGGAGGACUGAGCACAUGAUGAAGUUGAUGUCCCCACAUCCGGUCAGCACUCAAGUCCUGUCAUGUGGUUCUGACGGGCAGCCGUCACGUGCUCUUGGGUGAGGGUGGCACGGCCUCGUAGCCAGGGGCACGCUUCUCACCCGACUGCUCCAGGCUGUGUGACCUGGGCUAAGUCGCCUACCCUCUCUGUGUCCAAGUCUCCUUGUCUGUGAAAUGGGGAUGAAGAUGGCACCCGCCUCAUGGGAUAGUCAUGAGGAUUAUGCGUUCAUACUCGUGAGGGGCCGGGAACAGCGCCCAGCACAAACGCGUGACACAGGAGCCUUUCUGGGACACACUGGCUGUCUGGCUUCACUCACAUGAUCUCCGAGCUGCAGCGGCAUCACACCACUUCUUGGGGACCGGGGCUCAGUCACACGGGGUGUGUUCCCGCGUCUCCCACUUCCUUUCCCCUGGGCUCUCCCCGCACUCACACACACCCACGUGCACAGGCACGUGCACACGGGCGAGCACACGUGCCUGCACACCCGGGAGAGCAGAACCAGCCUGACGCACACGGUCCUCGGGGCUGGUGCACCAGCCUGGUGCUCGCCGGCUCGCGCGCUCAUCAGUGUUCCCGACAUCAGGGCUUCAUGUGUUACUGUAACGUUAACAACCACAUCCGCAGGGCUGGGCUACAAUUAAUCGGCAGCGUGCGCGUGCCCACAGGCUGUCGUAAACACUUCCCACACGCUCUCUCAUGGAAGCCGCUGUACGAGAAGGCGAAGGAAGCCAGCGGCGGCUCAGGCUGGAAGGAGGCUUGACAAGACUGAUCUGGGGGCUUCCUCCCCUCUCCCGCACCUGGCUUCUGCACCACGAGAGGAGGGCACAGGUGGCCCUUCCCAAUGCCCUGCACUCAUGGAAACAGAAAAGGGAUUUGUUACGGGAACCGUGAGGAUCCUGCAGGAUCUCAGGAACGGCUGGAGGACAAGGUGGUAAGGUUCUGCAGCCGGAAACAGCCUCUAAGAUCACACCACAAAACUGGUCUGGUGGGACCUCCCCCCCACCAGGUGGCUGAGCAUAGGCAUGCAGCCUGGGGUGGGAGUCUGGAUUCUCCUGUCUGCCCCACACUCAAGGUUACCAGAUAAAACACAAGAAACCCAGUUCAAUCGGAAUUGCAGAUAAACAAUGAAUAAUAUUUUCGUAAAAGUAGGUUCCACACAGUAUUUUGUUAUUACAUUUUAUCUUCCUUAAAUCCACCAUUCCUACCCACUGCUCCUGAAGGCCCCACUGUUUCUCUGAGAGAAGCCUCUGGACACUAAGUGCCUUGAACCAGGGGCUCCCAGUUCCAAGGAUUGGAGGCGUGCUGCUUGCGUGCGCCUUAGCUGCGGGGAGGGGGGGUCUGGGGAAGUGGGCAUCCAGGAGGAGGGGGCUCCACCUCACAGGCUGGGGACCCCGCAGCCGAUGGCCGGCACCCGGCUCUAGGCUCCUGCUGGAGAGCCUGUGGAGGCGAAGAACCAGACUCCCCCCAGAUCUGCCGUGUGUUCCAUGAGAUUUGGCCUUUGAUAUACAAGCAUCCUUUCCUUCAGUCUGUUUUCUCUGCCAGAGAGUUUUAUGUCUACUUAGAUACAACCUCCACUAAAAGGAACCAGGGCUCCUUGGAGAAAUGACUGAUUCCAGGCUGGGGAGAGGAAAGGACAGGAUGAGCCGGGAACAUCUUGUUGUGCCAGAAGGGAUGAAGCUCAAGUCAAAGGCACGCGGAAGCCAGCUGGCCCGGCGCCCGCUGCUCCGUCUGGGACGAGCCAGCCGCGGGGUGGAAAAUGUGCGAGGCAGCGCCGCCCCUGGCACGGCGCUACAGUCAACCUUACCAGCGUGUGUGCGCAGGUAUGACGCACGCACGUCAUACAGAAAGUAUAUUCAAAUAUACAACAUACUUACAGAACAUAAAAUACAACAUAAGCGUGUGUGUGAGUAAAGGAAGAGCGGACACGCCAGGGUUGUACCAACUAAUAAAAGUGGAAGGUUGAGCGACAUCAGAAAAGUUACCGUUUGACACCCACCCCAGAAUACUUCCUUCAGGCAAGAAUUAUCAAUGGAGGCGAAAACUAACGGGUGAGAGUUUCAUGGGGAAUGGGGUAUUUACAUAGUCUCAACAUAGGUCUCCCCAAGAUAAUUAUUUAUUACAAAAAAAAAAAAAAAAGACCUUUGCGGUGGAGAAAUGUGGCAGACAUCACCUUUACCAAGUGAUCAAAGUUGACAUCAAUGGCAACAGCACGAACAGACGCGUGCCUCCGGCGACCCACACUGAGCCAGGGACAGCAUCACGUGUGGGGGAUCCCUGCCCCGAAUGUCUAACCAGAGUCUCCCUAAUGAAGAAACACCCGACGAACUCAAUUUGAGGGACGCCCUACAAAAUAUUCGGCCACUGAUCUUUAAAACGUCACAAAAGGUGAAGAUACAGGGAGGUGCCUGCCCGAGUCAAGGACACUAAAAAGACAUGGAGGCUGAAUGAGAUUCGUGAUUUGAGAGUUGCUGUUACCACGGGGAUGUUCCUGGGACGGGGGCGAAAUCUGAGCAAGGUCUCUACCUGUAGAUUCAGUCGCAGAAUGUAUCCACUUUAAUUUUCCAACUGAGAUAAAUAUACCAGGAUUUAUGUAAGGAAAUCUCUCCUUCUGAGCAAGAGAAUGCCCUUAUUCUUAGGAAAUACGCACAAAUGUGUUUAGAGGCAAAGAGGGUCUCGUGUCUGCAACUUCCUCUUAAAUAACUGAGAAAAGAAAAGGACCCAGCAAAUGUGGUAAAUGCUAGUUAACGCCUGGGGAACCCAAAUGGAGGGUAUUUGGGGAUACUGGUAACAUUUUGAAACUCUUCCGCAAGUCCGAAAUUAACUGAAAAGCCCAAACGGACCCUCUUGUCCCUUUGGGGCUUCCCUUAACUGAGGUGGAAGCCAGGACAGGGUGGGGGCUGCCGCCGCCAGAAGGUUCAGGGGAGGGUUUUAGAGGGAAAAAGCCCUGGGGGAGCACAGCACGUUUGUUAAAAUCAUGCUAUUAGUUGCAGUAACAGCUAACAUGUUAAAGCUUUAAUUACGUGCCAGGCUUCCAAACGCUUUUUUAAAAAAUGAUGUUAGAGGCGCCUGGGUGGCUCAGUCGGUGAAGCAUCCGCCUUCAGCUCAGGUCAUGGUCUCAGGGUCCUGGGA
Ailuropoda melanoleuca (giant panda) is the source of this 3992-nucleotide long non-coding RNA. RefSeq lists it as uncharacterized. The transcript has 3 exons. NCBI's taxonomy places the organism in Eukaryota, Metazoa, Chordata, Mammalia, Carnivora, Ursidae. The record is from RefSeq and is a predicted model, not a curated record.